This 409-nucleotide ribosomal RNA is filed under the name Bacillota bacterium. RNAcentral's name for it is "Firmicutes bacterium partial 16S ribosomal RNA". It matches the Rfam family "Bacterial small subunit ribosomal RNA", at positions 355 to 776 of the family's 1533-position model. Lineage: Bacteria; Bacillati; Bacillota. The record is from RNAcentral.
UGGGGAAUAUUGCACAAUGGGCGAAAGCCUGAUGCAGCGACGCCGCGUGAGGGAUGACGGCCUUCGGGUUGUAAACCUCUUUCAGCAGGGACGAAGCGCAAGUGACGGUACCUGCAGAAGAAGCACCGGCUAACUACGUGCCAGCAGCCGCGGUAAAACGUAGGGUGCAAGCGUUGUCCGGAAUUACUGGGCGUAAAGAGUUCGUAGGCGGUUUGUCGCGUCGUUUGUGAAAACCAGCAGCUCAACUGCUGGCUUGCAGGCGAUACGGGCAGACUUGAGUACUGCAGGGGAGACUGGAAUUCCUGGUGUAGCGGUGAAAUGCGCAGAUAUCAGGAGGAACACCGGUGGCGAAGGCGGGUCUCUGGGCAGUAACUGACGCUGAGGAACGAAAGCGUGGGUAGCGAACAGG